Molecule: small nuclear RNA, 63 nt
Filed under: Leptomonas seymouri
Lineage: Eukaryota; Euglenozoa; Kinetoplastea; Trypanosomatida; Trypanosomatidae
Source: RNAcentral
UAACGACGAGCGGACCGACUUUCGCCCAUGCGGACACUUCGAAUGUGUACAAAUGUUGAGCCU